Molecule: ribosomal RNA, 253 nt
Filed under: uncultured bacterium
Lineage: Bacteria
Description: partial 16S ribosomal RNA
Rfam family: Bacterial small subunit ribosomal RNA
Source: RNAcentral
UACGAAGGGGGCUAGCGUUGUUCGGAAUUACUGGGCGUAAAGCGCGCGCAGGCGGUCCUUUAAGUCAGGGGUGAAAGCCCAGAGCUCAACUCCAGAACUGCCUUCGAUACUGGAAAGCUCGAGUCCGGGAGAGGUGAGUGGAACUGCGAGUGUAGAGGUGAAAUUCGUAGAUAUUCGCAAGAACACCAGUGGCGAAGGCGGCUCACUGGCCCGGUACUGACGCUGAGGUGCGAAAGCGUGGGGAGCAAACAGG